UUAAUAUAUACUUGACCAUUCGAGUCAAGGGAUGUGACUCUGUUAGUCAUACGUUAUAGCCUUGCAGUGGCUCACAUACAGAUAAACCGACCAAGCUCUCCGGCUGUUACACGUCUUGCUGCUGAAAGGGAACAAGAUAUACAGAAGAGAAAUAUGGGUCGAGGACUCGAGAGGGUGGAGGGUAGUGGGAUGAGAGGGAGAGAGAGAGAGAGAGAGAGAGAGUGAGUGAGAGUUAGAGGGACAGACUGCAUGACUGCAUGGUUGUCUUUAUUCUGAUACGAUGAUUACACGAAGAUAAGGCUAAGCAUUGUGAAAAUCGAGCAGAAAUACAUAAUAUUCGUUUGGAUCAGUGCACAAAUAUCUUUAAUGUUAAUUCCUGCAUGUGUGCUGAUCCCUUCGGUAAGACUGCACAAACAAGACCUGGAUUUACCACCGCAGCUGCAGUCCAAUGAAACAAACAACUUGUGAGGAUGAAAUCUAGAAAACUUCAACUAGAGACUUCCAUACGGCAC
Priapulus caudatus is the source of this 512-nucleotide long non-coding RNA. RefSeq lists it as uncharacterized. Lineage: Eukaryota; Metazoa; Priapulida; Priapulimorpha; Priapulimorphida; Priapulidae. The record is from RefSeq and is a predicted model, not a curated record. The transcript is spliced from 2 exons.